Molecule: ribosomal RNA, 304 nt
Filed under: uncultured bacterium
Lineage: Bacteria
Description: partial 16S ribosomal RNA
Rfam family: Bacterial small subunit ribosomal RNA
Source: RNAcentral
CAGCAGCAGCCACGGUAAUACAGAGGGUGCGAGCGUUAAUCGGAUUUACUGGGCGUAAAGCGUGCGUAGGCGGCUUCUUAAGUCGGAUGUGAAAUCCCUGAGCUUAACUUAGGAAUUGCAUUCGAUACUGGGAAGCUAGAGUAUGGGAGAGGAUGGUAGAAUUCCAGGUGUAGCGGUGAAAUGCGUAGAGAUCUGGAGGAAUACCGAUGGCGAAGGCAGCCAUCUGGUCUAAUACUGACGCUGAGGUACGAAAGCAUGGGGAGCAAACAGGAUUAGAUACCCGCGUAGUCCCUGUCUCUUAUAC